GAUGAACGCUGGCGGCAUGCCUAACACAUGCAAGUCGGGCGGGAAACACGGGAAACUGUGUUUCCAGUGGUGGACGGGGGAGUAACGCGAAAGAACCUGCCCUCGGGCGAGGAACAACAGCUGGAAACGGCAGCUAAUACCCCGUACCCUGAAGAGCUUAAGGCGGGAUCCGCCCGAGGGGGGGCACGCGCCUGGUUAACUAGUUGGAGAGGCAAUAGCUUACCAAGGUGAUGAUCAGUAGCUGGUCCGAGAGGAUGAACGGCCACACUGGGACGGGAGGCAGGAGCAGGCUCCUACGCGCGACAGGAGUGAGGAUGAUGGCGCAAUGGGGGAUGGCCUAAGGGGGCCAUGGCGCGUGGAAGUAGAGGGCCCAGGGAUGGAGAAAUGCGUUAGCCGGAGAGGAAACAAUGACGGUAUCUAGGGAGUAAGCAACGGCUAACUCUGUG
Molecule: ribosomal RNA, 446 nt
Filed under: uncultured bacterium
Lineage: Bacteria
Description: partial 16S ribosomal RNA
Rfam family: Bacterial small subunit ribosomal RNA
Source: RNAcentral